Molecule: ribosomal RNA, 480 nt
Filed under: uncultured bacterium
Lineage: Bacteria
Description: bacterial SSU rRNA
Rfam family: Bacterial small subunit ribosomal RNA
Source: RNAcentral
AAUCAACGCUGGCGGCGUGCCUCAGACAUGCAAGUUGAACGAUUAAAGCUCUCUUCGGAGAGUGCAUAAAGUGGCGCACGGGUGAGUAACACGUAAGUAAUCUACCCUCGAGUGGGGAAUAACGUCCGGAAACGGACGCUAAUACCGCAUAACGCAGCGGCACCGCAAGGUGACAGUUGUUAAAGGAGAAAUCCGCUUGAGGAGGAGCUUGCGGCAGAUUAGCUUGNGGUAAGGUAACGGCUUACCAAGGCUACGAUCUGUAACCGGUCUAAGAGGACGGUCGGUCACACUGACACUGAAUAACGGGUCAGACUCCUACGGGAGGCAGCAGUCGGGAAUUUUGGGCAAUGGGGGAAACCCUGACCCAGCAACGCCGCGUGAAGGAUGAAGUAUUUCGGUAUGUAAACUUCGAAAGAAUAGGAAGAAUAAAUGACGGUACUAUUUAUAAGGUCCGGCUAACUACGUGCCAGCAGCCGCGGU